Molecule: unclassified non-coding RNA, 231 nt
Filed under: Glomeraceae sp.
Lineage: Eukaryota; Fungi; Glomeromycota; Glomeromycetes; Glomerales; Glomeraceae
Description: partial contains 5.8S ribosomal RNA and internal transcribed spacer 2
Rfam family: 5.8S ribosomal RNA (bases 1-71)
Source: RNAcentral
GUGAAUCAUCAAAUUUUUGAACGCAAAUUGCGCUUCCUGGCAUCCCGGGAAGUAUGCCUGUUUGAGGGUCAGUAUUAACAAAAAAUCGGUUUGGUUGCAAAUUGUGCCGUUUCCGGAGUUUGGUCUAUCUUAACUUUUUUUAUUAAGAGUCCUAAAAUUGACCUUUUUUGCGCAAUUUUAGACGUACAUAAAUUUUUUUUCUAUCCGUCUAUUCUAAAAACCAAAAUCUGU